GUCUUCUCAACACCUUAAAACUGUUUCUGCAGAGGGUCUAUCUGAUACAUCAACAUCAUGAAGUUAACUCCAUGGUAUAAUGCAAGCGACAUGAAAUAUCAACAGAUGAAAAGCAACUCCACCACUUGUUACUUAACCUCUCCGGAAGAGUUACCCUAAGGGUUAAAAUGAGAAAUUAAGAGAAACUGUCGAUCUGUUGCCUGGCAUUCGUGGAGCCAAAUACAAGAAUUAAGUUGAGAGAAGCCUCAAGUUCAGAAUGGACUUUCAUUUAAUGAGGGUAUUUUGAGAAAGAAAUUCCUUGAAGUGAAACUGUGGUAUCUAAGGGUACGUGUUUUCAAAUAUGAUAAAUUCUAAUGCAGUUUUGGAAGCAUCCAAAGAAAAAUGUUUAAUGUGGUUUAAAAG
This is a long non-coding RNA of Talpa occidentalis (Iberian mole), 402 nucleotides long. RefSeq lists it as uncharacterized. NCBI's taxonomy places the organism in Eukaryota, Metazoa, Chordata, Mammalia, Eulipotyphla, Talpidae. The transcript has 3 exons. The record is from RefSeq and is a predicted model, not a curated record.